Long non-coding RNA from Papaver somniferum (opium poppy), 2093 nucleotides. RefSeq lists it as uncharacterized. Lineage: Eukaryota; Viridiplantae; Streptophyta; Magnoliopsida; Ranunculales; Papaveraceae. The record is from RefSeq and is a predicted model, not a curated record. The transcript has 2 exons.
ACUUUUUUUCUUUCAAUUUUGCUGGUCGGAUUAUAUGCUUCUCUCUUGGUCUUAACCUAAAAUAGAUCUAAAAAUAAAACAUUAUCCCUGAACUGUUUGACGGAAAAAUUUGAUUAUUUUUCCUAAAAGUUUUCAUAUAAAAAACCCUUCUUUGCCUUCUUCUCUGGAUGCUUCUCAUAAUUUAAAAUGAAUUUCAAAAUGGUGAAUAUUAUGAUUAUUUUUCCCGUUUUCCUGAUCUCUAAAAGGAUAUCUACAAUUCUUCUGGUUUUUCUAAUUUUUUAAAAAUAAAAAAUAAAAAAAAAUAUCCUUUUAAUCUUUCAUUUAUUGUUGCCCUCCAUGGGUCUUUCUGGUUUUGAUCCGGAAAAGAAUAGUUUGAGAAUCUCUAAAAGUUGUUUAUCCUCUCUCGUUAAAGGUGUUUUCUUUUCGUCUUAAAUAGGCAUGUUUAAAAUUUACUAUGAACAAGAAUGGGGAUUGUUUUAUCUUGGCUAGUUUUCUUUCGGGUUUGUCUUCUUUAAAGAUCUUGAUUCAAAUGGGUUUGUCCUUUAUAAUUAUCUUAAAAUCUCUGUUAGGAUUCUCAGGAUUGGCUUCUUCUUUUCUUGCCUGUUUUGUUGGUCCGAUUUGCUUAUGUUUGUCUUCAUUUCAAUUGCUGGAAGGAUUUUCACUUAGUUUUUCUCUGAAUUUUUUUUUUGUGAUUUAGAAAUCUGAUGUGAAAAAAUAAAUAAAUCCCAUGACCCUGACCCUAACUCCGCUGAUCCCAAAUGGCACCCCAGGCAUCAGUUUUUUCUCUCCAAGGAAAGUGUUCUGGAAGUAUCGCGGUUGGCUACACAGGGGCCUUUUCCUCUACUUUGUCUCUUGAAAUUACAUUUUGGUUUCGUUACUUUUUUUAAAAUUGAAUUUCAUAUUUUCUUUAAAUCUCAUCUCUAGCAGACAGUAAAUAGCCUUGAAUAAUUGAUAGUAGUACUAGGUGUUCUAUUUUGGAUAGUUUAAUUGCUUUUAGUUUUGGUUUGGCUAUCCAAAUCCACUAGUUCCAUGUUUAUCAUUUAAUGACAACAUUUCAAGUCCACUAAUAUAUUUUUAUUGAGCAUUAGGAUUCCAGUAUUUCUUGAGAAGUGAUACCUUAUUUAUUAGAUAGUACAACACCCGUAUUAGUUUAAAUCGCUUUUUUGUUAGACCUUUGCUUUAAGUCUCUAGUUUUGUUAUAGCCCUUCUACUUUAUCUGUAGCUUUUUCACCGGAAUAGUUGAGACCGGGCAGUAAUCUAGUCUUCUUAAAUUGAUUUCAGCUUGUACUGUCGUGCUAGUUUUUUAGUUUCAGUCAGUUUUCAAUUCGUGUUAGUUACAAUAUGUGUUAUUUAUGUCUACUCCAUUUCCCUAUUUAUAUGUAUUGUGUUUGUGUAAUGUUAUUGUGUAAUUUAACAUAUUUUUGUGUUUCUUCUGGGAAUAGGAAUCUGAAAACUCCUGUGAAACAACAUGAUGCUGAAAUCAAUACUGGAUGUGUUCUAUAUGGUUGUAUUUUUUCGAAGAUGCAACCUUCACCAUUUAAAUCUUCGAUUACGGCAAAGACUAAACCGUCGUCCUCAAUCAUUAAGAAGAGAUCUCUUUCAUGUAUAGGCCGUCGUGACACUUUUAUCAGACUUAUUCAUGGUAGAAGGGUCCAGGAAUCCACCUUGAUAGUUUUAUCGCAUGUUAAGACUCCCAAUCUUCACAACUUGUUUGUGAAUCAAUACAUGCUGCCAGUAUUAGAAAACUACUCAUUCGGUACCGAUGGAGAGCGAAUGCUUCCUAGUUUCACGAAGAAUUAUAAAUGUUUGUGUUAUCUUUGCAGUCUUAGUUUUAGGGUAUUCUUUAGGACUUAUCGCGUUGUGCUCUUUUCCUUCGUUAAGGUUUUAUCCCUGCGGGUUUUUCUUUUAUCCCUACGAGUUUUCCUUUUCAAGGUUUUUAACGAGGCAACAAAUGUGUGUCCAACACCUCCGGGUGGUUUUAUCUUUUUCUUAUUUCUGUUUGUUAUUUAUUUUUCAUGUAAUAUCUUUAAGCUUACAGUUGUAAACUUGGCUUUCUAAGUUUUAAUGUUUUAUCUUCUGAAACAUUUUCGGUU